RNAcentral lists this ribosomal RNA (1383 nucleotides) under uncultured bacterium. RNAcentral describes it as "bacterial SSU rRNA". It matches the Rfam family "Bacterial small subunit ribosomal RNA", at positions 18 to 1396 of the family's 1533-position model. The record is from RNAcentral.
CCUGGCUCCGUAUGAACGCUAGCUACAGGCUUAACACAUGCAAGUCGAGGGUCAGCAUGGUCUUAGCUUGCUAAGGCCGAUGGCGACCGGCGCACGGGUGAGUAACACGUAUCCAACCUGCCGUCUACUCUUGGACAGCCUUCUGAAAGGAAGAUUAAUACAAGAUGGCAUCAUGAGUCCGCAUGUUCACAUGAUUAAAGGUAUUCCGGUAGACGAUGGGGAUGCGUUCCAUUAGAUAGUAGGCGGGGUAACGGCCCACCUAGUCUUCGAUGGAUAGGGGUUCUGAGAGGAAGGUCCCCCACAUUGGAACUGAGACACGGUCCAAACUCCUACGGGAGGCAGCAGUGAGGAAUAUUGGUCAAUGGGCGAGAGCCUGAACCAGCCAAGUAGCGUGAAGGAUGACUGCCCUAUGGGUUGUAAACUUCUUUUAUAAAGGAAUAAAGUCGGGUAUGGAUACCCGUUUGCAUGUACUUUAUGAAUAAGGAUCGGCUAACUCCGUGCCAGCAGCCGCGGUAAUACGGAGGAUCCGAGCGUUAUCCGGAUUUAUUGGGUUUAAAGGGAGCGUAGAUGGAUGUUUAAGUCAGUUGUGAAAGUUUGCGGCUCAACCGUAAAAUUGCAGUUGAUACUGGAUAUCUUGAGUGCAGUUGAGGCAGGCGGAAUUCUUGGUGUAGCGGUGAAAUGCUUAGAUAUCACGAAGAACUCCGAUUGCGAAGGCAGCCUGCUAAGCUGCAACUGACAUUGAGGCUCGAAAGUGUGGGUAUCAAACAGGAUUAGAUACCCUGGUAGUCCACACGGUAAACGAUGAAUACUCGCUGUUUGCGAUAUACGGCAAGCGGCCAAGCGAAAGCGUUAAGUAUUCCACCUGGGGAGUACGCCGGCAACGGUGAAACUCAAAGGAAUUGACGGGGGCCCGCACAAGCGGAGGAACAUGUGGUUUAAUUCGAUGAUACGCGAGGAACCUUACCCGGGCUUAAAUUGCAGAUGAAUUACGGUGAAAGCCGUAAGCCGCAAGGCAUCUGUGAAGGUGCUGCAUGGUUGUCGUCAGCUCGUGCCGUGAGGUGUCGGCUUAAGUGUCAUAACGAGCGCAACCCUUGUUGUCAGUUACUAACAGGUUCCGCUGAGGACUCUGACAAGACUGCCAUCGUAAGAUGUGAGGAAGGUGGGGAUGACGUCAAAUCAGCACGGCCCUUACGUCCGGGGCUACACACGUGUUACAAUGGGGGGUACAGAGGGCCGCUACCACGCGAGUGGAUGCCAAUCCCCAAAACCUCUCUCAGUUCGGACUGGAGUCUGCAACCCGACUCCACGAAGCUGGAUUCGCUAGUAAUCGCGCAUCAGCCACGGCGCGGUGAAUACGUUCCCGGGCCUUGUACACACCGCCCG